Molecule: long non-coding RNA, 292 nt
Filed under: Panax ginseng (ginseng)
Lineage: Eukaryota; Viridiplantae; Streptophyta; Magnoliopsida; Apiales; Araliaceae
Description: long non-coding RNA (PGIN_LNC015247)
Source: RNAcentral
GAGAGUUUGAGUCUUCGUCUCUUUGACUUCGAGAUUGACUGAUGAUGACCGAUGAAGGGUCGCCGAAGCCGAUGAGGCGAUGCGUCGAUGGCCGUCGGCGGAUGAGAGUCGAGAGAUUGAGACAAGUUCGAGAUCAGGGUUUGGCCGUUUGGGAUGAGAGAUUGAGACGAGAGUUCGAGAUCUGGGUUUGGGAUUUGGGAAUUGAGAUUUGAGGGUUACGACUUCAGUUCAGUCUCUGGGCUAGUAGACUAAGUGGGCUGGCUGAGUGUUAUUAUUUUAAGUAGGAGUGACU